This 429-nucleotide ribosomal RNA is filed under the name uncultured bacterium. RNAcentral describes it as "partial 16S ribosomal RNA". It matches the Rfam family "Bacterial small subunit ribosomal RNA", at positions 355 to 776 of the family's 1533-position model. RNAcentral also lists the same sequence under 1 other name. The record is from RNAcentral.
UGGGGAAUUUUGGACAAUGGGGGCAACCCUGAUCCAGCCAUGCCGCGUGAGUGAAGAAGGCCUUCGGGUUGUAAAGCUCUUUCGGCCGGGAAGAAAUCGCAUAGGCUAAUACCCUGUGUGGAUGACGGUACCGGAAUAAGAAGCACCGGCUAACUACGUGCCAGCAGCCGCGGUAAUACGUAGGGUGCGAGCGUUAAUCGGAAUUACUGGGCGUAAAGCGUGCGCAGGCGGUUUAGUAAGACAGGCGUGAAAUCCCCGGGCUCAACCUGGGAACUGCGCUUGUGACUGCUAAGCUAGAGUACGGCAGAGGGGGGUGGAAUUCCACGUGUAGCAGUGAAAUGCGUAGAGAUGUGGAGGAACACCGAUGGCGAAGGCAGCCCCCUGGGCCGAUACUGACGCUCAUGCACGAAAGCGUGGGUAGCAAACAGG